AUGAGCAGGGAUGACGUCCUUCAAUGGUGGGGCUCAAGCGGAGAACUUCCCCAAUCCAUCCAGGGGGAACGAGUAUGCUUCGUCCCCUUCAUCUUGCGAGGUGUCGAAUUUCCAAUCCAUCCCUUGCUCCGAGGUCUGCUAGAGUAUUACGGCCUCCAACUACAUAGUCUCACCCCCGCCUCUAUCCUGCAUAUUGCGGGUUAUGUCGCUCUACGCGAGCUAUUCCUGGGUUGUGAGGCCCAUUUCUAUUUAUGGAGAAGAUUGUUUUUCCUCAUCCCUCGUAAUCAAGGAGGGUCAAUAUUUGAAGUCUUCCAAAGAAUGACCUUCCGAAUGGUUCUAUAUUGA
Molecule: ribosomal RNA, 345 nt
Filed under: Triticum aestivum (bread wheat)
Lineage: Eukaryota; Viridiplantae; Streptophyta; Magnoliopsida; Poales; Poaceae
Description: partial small subunit ribosomal RNA
Source: RNAcentral